This 1138-nucleotide ribosomal RNA is filed under the name Bacillus sp. (in: firmicutes). RNAcentral describes it as "bacterial SSU rRNA". It matches the Rfam family "Bacterial small subunit ribosomal RNA", at positions 23 to 1156 of the family's 1533-position model. Lineage: Bacteria; Bacillati; Bacillota; Bacilli; Caryophanales; Bacillaceae. The record is from RNAcentral.
GGGAGGAUAUUUUUUGUUUGGCAUGCGGGUCUAUACAUGCAAGUCGAGCGGACCGACGGGAGCUUGCUCCCUUAGGUCAGCGGCGGACGGGUGAGUAACACGUGGGUAACCUGCCUGUAAGACUGGGAUAACUCCGGGAAACCGGGGCUAAUACCGGAUGCUUGAUUGAACCGCAUGGUUCAAUCAUGAAAGGCGGCUUCGGCUGCCGUUUACAGAUGGACCCGCGGCGCAUUAGCUAGUUGGUGAGGUAACGGCUCACCAAGGCGACGAUGCGUAGCCGACCUGAGAGGGUGAUCGGCCACACUGGGACUGAGACACGGCCCAGACUCCUACGGGAGGCAGCAGUAGGGAAUCUUCCGCAAUGGACGAAAGUCUGACGGAGCAACGCCGCGUGAGUGAUGAAGGUUUUCGGAUCGUAAAGCUCUGUUGUUAGGGAAGAACAAGUACCGUUCGAAUAGGGCGGUACCUUGACGGUACCUAACCAGAAAGCCACGGCUAACUACGUGCCAGCAGCCGCGGUAAUACGUAGGUGGCAAGCGUUGUCCGGAAUUAUUGGGCGUAAGAGCGCGCGCAGGCGGUUUCUUAAGUCUGAUGUGAAAGCCCCCGGCUCAACCGGGGAGGGUCAUUGGAAACUGGGGAACUUGAGUGCAGAAGAGGAGAGUGGAAUUCCACGUGUAGCGGUGAAUGCGUAGAGAUGUGGAGGAACAGCAGUGGCGAAGGCGACUCUCUGGUCUGUAACUGACGCUGAGGCGCGAAAGCGGUGGGGAGCGAACAGGAUUAGAUACGCCUGGUAGUCCACGCCGUAAACGAUGAUGCUAAGUGUUAGAGGGUUCCGCCCUUUAUGCUGCAGCAACGCAUUAUCACUCCGCCUGGGGGAGUACGGUCGCAGGACUGAACUCAAAGGAAUUGACGGGGGCCCGCCACAAGCGGUUGGACCAUGUGGUUAAAUUCGAAGCACGCCGAGACUUACCAGUCUGGACAGUCCUCUGAAUCCCUAGAGAAUAUGGCUUCCCAUCGGGGCGACUGACAGUGGUGCAUGAUGUCGUCACCCUCAGUACAGGAAGUUUGAUAAGUUCCGCACGAGCCAAGCUUGAAUCUAUGCAGCAUUCAUUGGGCGACGUCUACGUGAACUGGCCCG